This 392-nucleotide unclassified non-coding RNA is filed under the name soil metagenome. RNAcentral's name for it is "partial contains 5.8S ribosomal RNA, internal transcribed spacer 2, and large subunit ribosomal RNA". The stretch from base 1 to 122 matches the Rfam family "5.8S ribosomal RNA", at positions 35 to 154 of the family's 154-position model. The record is from RNAcentral.
GAUGAAGAACGUAGCGAAAUGCGAUACUUGGUGUGAAUUGCAGAAUCCCGUGAACCAUCGAGUCUUUGAACGCAAGUUGCUCCCGAAGCCAUUAGGCCGAGGGCACGCCUGCCUGGGCGUCACACGUCGUUGCCCCCCCCAUCUACUCCUUCGGGAUUGCGGGGGGCGGAUGAUGGCCUCCCGUGCGCCUCGCCGCGCGGUUGGCAUAAAUGCCAAGUCCUCGGCGACGCACGCCACGACAAUCGGUGGUUGCGAAACCUCGGUUGCCCGUCGUGUGCGGUCGUCGCGCAUCGAGGGCUCGAAAAAAUUGCCGAGUUCCGGCUCGGCUUUCAACGCGACCCCAGGUCAGGCGGGGUUACCCGCUGAAUUUAAGCAUAUCAAUAAGCGGAGGA